Molecule: long non-coding RNA, 1716 nt
Organism: Pyrus x bretschneideri (Chinese white pear)
Lineage: Eukaryota; Viridiplantae; Streptophyta; Magnoliopsida; Rosales; Rosaceae
Exons: 2
Source: RefSeq, a predicted model, not a curated record
CUUCCAUAGAAAAUGAUUAUGUUAAUAUAUAAUUUGUGAUGAGUCGACAUGUAAACUCUAAUUUUGACUAUUCUCAUUGUGACAGUUUAACUUUAUUGUGACACUACAAGUGUAUUGUAAAAUCUUUUAUAAAGAUUACAAAAGCAUUAUUUUCUUCUUCUUUUUGUCAUGAUUUUUAUGUUUUUAUAAGAAAUAAAGUGUCAUGAUUUAUUCAAUAAUAGAGAAAAGAAGAGGAGGUCUCCACCAAUAAAAGAGGAAGGGAGAGGAAAAAAAGAGUAAAAAAUCACAGCAAAAUUGCCCGGUUGUAAGGGUACUUGGCAAAAAAAAAAAAAAAGGUAAGAAUGCUGAUUGCAAUUCUUUAAUAAACAAAAAAAAAAUGUGGGAGAUCUCGUGUUCGAUAUUUCGAACUAUUGAGUCUGCUUGAGUAUGGUCACAAAGAGGGUAAAAUUCCUUAUAAUAUCUUUGGAUUCGAAAUAUAGAUAACUGUAACUUAUCAACGAUUUUCUUUUUCUUUUUCUUUUUUUUUUUUCAAAGAAAAAAGAGUAAAAGGUUGGACAAAGUUCACAACGGAGUGAAAGUCAGCCGGGUAGAAAGAUUACAAGUUGACCGCGCGAAUGACCUAGUAAGUAAACCGGGAAAAAGUGCAGGUAGACGCGUGCUCAUCCAGACAGCGCGAGUACGUACACGUAUCUCGCUAUACUCGAGCGAGUAAGACACCAAAUAGUUGGGUUCCACUUUCGAACGAAUUAGAACUUCUGGAAGCAUAGAUUACAGUACCUCCCACUCCCAGUUGUGAUUGUGCCCUUUUACUCUCACAGCUUUCUAGUAAUAAUAAAAAAUAAAAAAAUAAAAAAAACCCUUUUCAGUUCUUUAUCCAUCUGGAGAGUGGAGAGUGAGAGUUUCUUCUUCUUCUUCCUACAAACUCCUCAAAUUCCCCAACCCAAAUAGUCUUUUAAUUUCCAUUAAAUCUUCUGCUUUUCUGGAUUUUUUCAAGAGACCUAUUCUCUAGAUACAAUUUUAUGAGUCGUGUGUUUUCCUUCGUGGUUUGGCGAUACACAACCUUCUCCGUCUAUCAAAGGACUAAAACACAACAAAUUGAGUGCCAUUUAAUUUUCAAGUCAAGUAUGUUAUAAUUGUUUUCUCCUUUAUUGUUGUUUGUUGUGCGAAUUUUUACAUGAAGACUUUAUCCUAAUUCCCCUAAUCCCUUUCUAUCAUCUCUCAUUGAUAUGCUUCUUUCUCUUUUUAUUCAAAAAAACCAAUGCACCGAAGGUGUUUGAUGUUAUACCUCUUUGAAAAUUGUACUCUUUAAUUCCCGUAAUCCAUAUAAUCAUGACUUUCAUAGUUAUAUCUUUGGAAGAAUGUAUAAGGUUUGUGGGGUUGUAAUCCUGGAUUUGGCAGACGAGAUAGAUUUAACAUGGUAAUGGUGUGCGACUUGUACAAGCAAAGGCCUGACAUGAAAUUUCCCACCUUCUGCAUAUCCUGCAUCACACUAUAUCCUGGACAUAGGAUAGAACCCCCAUUGACACACAGGCCCCCAGGUAGACCAAAAGUUAAAAGACUAAAAUCUAUUGGGGAAGAAGCACGCCCCAACAAGUGCAGUAGGUGUGGUGAUGCUUACAUCUUCGUUGCCAUUUGAAUUUUUAUUUUAUUUUUUUUAUCAAUGUAAUAAAAUGAUGCCUUCAACUUUUUAGCUUACUCAUAUUCUUCCUUUUUCCA